Long non-coding RNA from Cucurbita moschata (crookneck pumpkin), 507 nucleotides. RefSeq lists it as uncharacterized. NCBI's taxonomy places the organism in Eukaryota, Viridiplantae, Streptophyta, Magnoliopsida, Cucurbitales, Cucurbitaceae. The record is from RefSeq and is a predicted model, not a curated record. The transcript is spliced from 2 exons.
AACAGAACAAGGUUCGAACAGAUCAAAUCACUCGAAUCAAUUUUCGAGUCAGAGUCAAGGUUUGAGCCCACAAAGAAGUUGCAGCUCGCCGCGCAGCUGGGGUUGCACCCACGCCAGGUUUCAAUAUGGUUUCAGAACAAGCGAGACUACAGCGUUUUACUUGCUAAUUACAACACUCUGGCUUCCCGCUUUCAAGCUCUCAACAACGAUAACCAAGCGUUGGCUGCACAGAAUUGCAGAUAAAAUGCAACGCCCAUAAUCAGCAGGGGAACCAGAAUUUGCAGUAGUGUUAGCAAGGAUCCUGAAGAUUCAGCCGACGACGUCGUUGCUUUUACCGAUUGGGAUGCGGCUAGUCGAUAAUCGAUCGGCUUUGGGACCGUAGACAUGUCAACAUUGCCAAUGUAAUACUUUUCCAUUUGCUCUAUUGCAGAUAGACUGUGACCCACAUUUUCAAAAUCAUCUGUUGCAUCUUUCUCUGCAUAAACUCAACAUUGUUUUUCCAAUCAU